RNAcentral lists this ribosomal RNA (253 nucleotides) under uncultured bacterium. Its description in RNAcentral is "partial 16S ribosomal RNA". It matches the Rfam family "Bacterial small subunit ribosomal RNA", at positions 524 to 776 of the family's 1533-position model. The record is from RNAcentral.
UACGGAGGGUGCAAGCGUUAUCCGGAUUUACUGGGCUUAAAGGGUGUGUAGGCGGGCUGUUAAGUCAGUGGUGAAAUCUCAGAGCUUAACUUGGAAACUGCCAUUGAUACUAUUAGUCUUGAAUUUUGUUGAGGUAGGCGGAAUAAGUCAUGUAGCGGUGAAAUGCGUAGAUAUGUCACAGAACACCGAUUGCGAAGGCAGCUCACUAAAGUGUAACUGACGCUGAGGCACGAAAGCGUGGGGAGCAAACAGG